RNAcentral lists this ribosomal RNA (464 nucleotides) under uncultured bacterium. Its description in RNAcentral is "partial 16S ribosomal RNA". It matches the Rfam family "Bacterial small subunit ribosomal RNA", at positions 28 to 507 of the family's 1533-position model. The record is from RNAcentral.
GACGAACGCUGGCGGCGUGCUUAACACAUGCAAGUCGAACGGAAAGGCCCUGCUUGCUGGGUACUCGAGUGGCGAACGGGUGAGUAACACCUGGGUGAUCUGCCCUGCGCUUCGGGAUACGCCUGGGAAACUGGGUCUAAUACCGGAUCGUAGCCAUUUUGAGUGUGAUGGUUGGACGGUUUUGUCGGUGUCGGAUGAGCUCGCGGCCUAUUAGCUUGUUGGUGGGGUAAUGGCCUACCAAGGCGGCGACGGGUAGCUGGCCUGAGAGGGUGGACGGCCACAUGGGUACUGAGAUACGGACCAGACUGCAACGGUAGGCAGCAGUGGAGAAUAUUGCACAAUGGGCGCAAGUCUGAUGCAGCGGCGCUGCGUUGGUGAAGACGGCCUUCGGGUUGUAAACGCCUUUCGCUAGGGACGAAGCUUUUGUGACGGUACCUAGAGAAGAAGCACCGGCUAACUACGUG